GAAACCGGGGCUAAUACCGGAUGCUUGAUUGAACCGCAUGGUUCAAUCAUAAAAGGUGGCUUUCAGCUACCACUUACAGAUGGACCCGCGGCGCAUUAGCUAGUUGGUGAGGUAACGGCUCACCAAGGCGACGAUGCGUAGCCGACCUGAGAGGGUGAUCGGCCACACUGGGACUGAGACACGGCCCAGACUCCUACGGGAGGCAGCAGUAGGGAAUCUUCCGCAAUGGACGAAAGUCUGACGGAGCAACGCCGCGUGAGUGAUGAAGGUUUUCGGAUCGUAAAACUCUGUUGUUAGGGAAGAACAAGUACCGUUCGAAUAGGGCGGCACCUUGACGGUACCUAACCAGAAAGCCACGGCUAACUACGUGCCAGCAGCCGCGGUAAUACGUAGGUGGCAAGCGUUGUCCGGAAUUAUUGGGCGUAAAGCGCGCGCAGGCGGUUUCUUAAGUCUGAUGUGAAAGCCCCCGGCUCAACCGGGGAGGGUCAUUGGAAACUGGGGACUUGAGUGCAGAAGAGGAGAGUGGAAUUCCACGUGUAGCGGUGAAAUGCGUAGAGAUGUGGAGGAA
RNAcentral lists this ribosomal RNA (568 nucleotides) under uncultured Bacilli bacterium. RNAcentral's name for it is "bacterial SSU rRNA". It matches the Rfam family "Bacterial small subunit ribosomal RNA", at positions 153 to 706 of the family's 1533-position model. The record is from RNAcentral. Lineage: Bacteria; Bacillati; Bacillota; Bacilli.